This is a long non-coding RNA of Quercus lobata, 2228 nucleotides long. RefSeq lists it as uncharacterized. The record is from RefSeq and is a predicted model, not a curated record. The transcript is spliced from 5 exons. NCBI's taxonomy places the organism in Eukaryota, Viridiplantae, Streptophyta, Magnoliopsida, Fagales, Fagaceae.
CCUUAGAAAAUCACGGUUACAAUUUCUUGGAUUUCCUUCCUUUUGUUUCUCACGCAAAAAGCGUUCCUUCCACUUCCCCACCUUCUAACGGCAGAUUUCUCACACAAACCGUGUUCCUUCCCCUUCCCCACAUUCUAACAGAGGACUAUCAAAAUGCUGUCCACCAUAACGCCCAAACCCAUUCUUAAUCGCCUUUACUCUAUAACACCAACCCUUUCUAUAUCCCCUCCUUUUGCUCUACCUGUGUUCCACGGUUUCAAAACUUUAGCCCUUCAGCUAACUAACGCCAACCUCUCUCUCUUCCAAAGACAGUUUCAAAACUUCAGACCUUUGGCUUUCUAAAACAGUAUAUUUGAUGAUUCACUUCAGACCUUUAAAACUUGAAUGCAGCACUAGGUGAGAGCUAUUGAAGAGGGGGCAGAUUUCAUAGAAACAGACAUCCUCGGCAGUUAAGAUGGAGUGCUGAUAUGCUCCCAUGUGUAACACUGGAUCUCGAAAAUAGAACAAAUAUUGCAAACUUCAAUCAGUUUGCUGAUCGAAAAAGAACUUAUGAGGUCCAAGGUGUGACUAUGACUGGGUGUUACUAUGGUGAGAAUUACAAAAAGAGUCAUUAAUACUUUACUUUGCCAGAAUAUAUUUUAGCAAGCCUGGGAAAAAUGGCAUUCUAAGUGUGGAUGCACGUCCCUCAGAUGCCAUAAAUGUGGCAAAUAGAUGCAAGGCACCAAUAUUUGUAAGUAGACAAAUUGUCUUGGAAGAUGCUGUUAAAAUCGGUUAUGGGAUGGGCAGAAAACGUGAUACUAAAUCUACUUAUGAUGUGUCCCUUGACAGGUGAAUAUCUUUGCAGUUCUUGCAGUCGCUAAUUUUUUUUCCCUCUCCAUCGCAACAUGAAGUUUGUGAGUUUUUUCCUGCAUAAUUAACAUAUAUGAACAUAGCUAGCUAUGUACCUAUUUCUCUGUUUAUAUGAUUGAAUUCCUAUUUCAGGUGAUUCAAUUAAUUUUGUAUUUUUUUUUCAGACAUGUUUUGAGAAAAGAUGCGGGUUUUAUCUUUUCACUGUGUCAUAUAGUCCAUAUACCUAGGUUUAGGAACAUAUUGUGCGUAUCAUUGAAAUUCUGCAGACAUGUUUACGCAAAGGUGGGGGGUUUUCUAUUUCCCACCAUGUCUCAUAGUUAUUGUAUGUGGAUUUUUUAGGAUGUCACUCGAUUGUCCCAUGGACCUUUCGGCUUUUGCAAUCUUCUCUCCUAAUUAGGUGGGUGUAAAAGUUUCCCACUUUCAAGAAUGUACUUCUUUGGGUUCGGAAUUUUUUGCUAGAAAAAAAAAACACAAAAAAUCAACAAGCCCCUUGAUGCAAAUAAUUUGAUUUAUGCAGUUCCUUGGUACAAAACUGUUAAUAACUCGCACCUGUGGAAUGUCUUUAUUAAUUUAUGCAGUUCCUUGGCACAAAUUUAAAUUCACAACUGAUGUCUAUUACUUAUAAUUCAAUGUAAGGAUUAGAUUAAUAGUAUUGGUUCUUUUGAUUGCUGGUUUUUUUCCCCUCUUUUAUUACUACCUCUUUUGUGUUUUGGGUCUUAUAUGGGUCUGUUCAUUUUUAAGUAUUUGGCUUGGAAUAGACAAUACUUGAAGUAAUUAUUAUUUUUUAUAUAUUACACGUCAUUACAUAAUAUUUAUAUUCCCACGCGUCGCGUGGGUCUGCGGCUAGUUUGAUUUAAUUUAGAAAGCUCAUGAACUAGUUAAAGGUUGCAUUGCCCUGAACAAAUGAAAACCAUGAUUCCUACACGAGGGGAGUACAGUACACAGUUGACCUGGACCCAUGUGACACUGAUCAAGGACCCUCCAAUCAAAUUUAUGGGGCUACUUCAAAUUCAUAUUGCUGAAGUUGAUAUAAGCUUCUCCCCAUCACAACCACAAGAAAAUACUUGUUUUCUUACAAAAUACUAUUCGAUAAGAAAAGCCACAAAGGGUCAGGCUUUCUUUCCUAAUAUUCUUAAGGCCAGGAAACAGAAAAUUGUCAGUUCUACACAACAAACAGGGUUGGUACUCUUAUCUUCACUCCAAAAUAUUUCCAUCCUGAGAGUAAUAAAAAAUGAUCAUUUUUACUAUUACAAGUUACAACAAUCAGCCCGCAACUCUCCACCAUAAAGACAAAUUUGUAUUUUGUUAUUCACAGUUUCACACAUAAUACCAAAUGUCUGUAUUUACUAUGGAUACAAAGAAAUAGCUUUACAUAUAAA